This 417-nucleotide ribosomal RNA is filed under the name uncultured microorganism. RNAcentral's name for it is "bacterial SSU rRNA". It matches the Rfam family "Archaeal small subunit ribosomal RNA", at positions 330 to 745 of the family's 1478-position model. The record is from RNAcentral.
GUGCACCAGGCGAGAAAACUCCACAAUGCGCGAAAGCGCGAUGGGGCUAUCCCGAGUGCCGUCCGCUGAGGAUGGCUUUUCUCCAGUGUAAGGAGCUGGAGGAAUAAGGAGAGGGCAAGUCUGGUGUCAGCCGCCGCGGUAAUACCAGCUCUCCGAGUGGUAGGGACGUUUAUUGGGCUUAAAAGCGUCCGUAGCCGGCUCAACAAGUCCUCCGUUAAAAUCCAGCGAUUCAAUCGUUGGACUGCGGGGGAUACUGUUGGGCUAGGGGACGGGAGAGGCCAACGGUAUUCCCGGAGUAGGGGUGAAAAUCCUAUAAUUCCGGGAGGACCACCAGUGGCGAAGGCUGUCGGCUAGGACGAGCUCGACGGUGAGGGACGAAAAGCUGGGGGAGCGAACCGGAUUAGAUACCCGUGUAGU